ACGGGUAUGGUGCAACGGUAGCAUACGGGUCUCCAAAACCUUUGAUCUGGGUUCGAAUCCUAGUACCCGUGCAA
This 74-nucleotide transfer RNA is filed under the name Chitinophaga arvensicola. Its description in RNAcentral is "tRNA_Trp_CCA". It matches the Rfam family "tRNA". From Rfam's summary of the family: Transfer RNA (tRNA) molecules are approximately 80 nucleotides in length. RNAcentral also lists the same sequence under 1 other name. Lineage: Bacteria; Pseudomonadati; Bacteroidota; Chitinophagia; Chitinophagales; Chitinophagaceae. The record is from RNAcentral.